AGCAAGUUCGUAGCGUACCACCCACUGGUCCUCCGAAGCAAGCGGCAAAAAAAGGCGGUGCUUUUGUGCCUCGAUACCGGACGACGCUCGCAACAAUGGUUGAUAUGUCCGAUUUGAAGGAUGGUGCUUUACGUGAAAUCAAUAUGGAUGAAAGUGUCUUCGGUAUUGAAUUCAAGUCACAUAUUGCAAUUGAUGACUUGGAAGAGAUUUUUACGCAUGAACAACUAGGCGUCGGUAAUAUGCACUCAUACAUCCGGUUGUUGUAUGACAGAGUGUUGCGCGGGACUGCAUUGUCUAACAGAUUCCGUUUCGUGUCUUCCGCCCAUUGCAGCGGAAUGGCAAUUGCUUCGGAACCGGAAUCAGUUAGACAGCUCUUAGUCGAUAGAUUCAUGUCCACCGGCAAUUCAGAAAGUCUGCAUCUUUGGGCGUAUAAUACCCGACCAGUAGGAGCACACUGGUUGUUGCUUGCUAUCAACCCUAUAAGAGAAGUCGUGUAUUAUCUGAAUUCGGUAAAUGGUGACUGGACCAAUUAUCCGGCUAUGAAGGAAAUCGUUGAUUUGUAAAUCAAUACAAGUGUUCCGAAGUCAACGAGACGCACAGGUAUCCCGGACUAAAUCAAACAACAUUACUUGGAUCAAAGUGCAGUGUCCGCAACAGCGAAACAGUUCAGAUUGCGGAUACUUUGUUUUGAGGUUUAUGAAAGAAAUCCUUCAGGCGAAUCAAUUAGAGAUUCCGCUCAUGUACCUUGACGAAUUCCGUGUUGCUGGGUACCCGAGACUUAAGUUGGAAGAAAUCAAAGAGGAUUUGUGUCAAUAUUAUACUAAGCAAUUUUUCAUGUAGGAUUUGUGUCGAUUUGAACUAUAAUAUUA
This is a long non-coding RNA of Vicia villosa (hairy vetch), 869 nucleotides long. RefSeq lists it as uncharacterized. The record is from RefSeq and is a predicted model, not a curated record. The transcript has 6 exons. NCBI's taxonomy places the organism in Eukaryota, Viridiplantae, Streptophyta, Magnoliopsida, Fabales, Fabaceae.